GCCGGGGUAGCUCAGUCGGUAGAGCAGAGGACUGAAAAUCCUCGUGUCGGCGGUUCGAUUCCGUCCCUCGGCACCA
RNAcentral lists this transfer RNA (76 nucleotides) under Nitrospinaceae bacterium. RNAcentral's name for it is "tRNA-Phe". It matches the Rfam family "tRNA". Rfam says of the family: Transfer RNA (tRNA) molecules are approximately 80 nucleotides in length. Their secondary structure includes four short double-helical elements and three loops (D, anti-codon, and T loops). Lineage: Bacteria; Pseudomonadati; Nitrospinota; Nitrospinia; Nitrospinales; Nitrospinaceae. The record is from RNAcentral.